UGAGAUCUCUGAAUAUCCUAAGCCAAGUGCAGGCCAUAGGAGAAAGCAGUGAAAAAGAAACACUGUGACAAGCAAGGAAGAAACUUCAGACCAAGUUGACAGGCAGCCCUUCAGUUUACUGACUGCCGCUUCUUACCUGCCAACGCCAAGCACAAAGCUGCCUGCAGAGCCAGCCUCUAUCUGUGGUCCUUGUGCCAAUUAUCACUGCCCCACUCAUGCCGCAGGAUAUAAAGCAGAGUGACAGGGUCACAGGACUGCCAGAGGAAUACAGGCUGCAGUGCAGUGGUGCCAUCUGGGCUCACUGCAACCUCUGCCUCCCAGGUUCAAGUGAUCCUCAUGCCUCAGCCUCCUGAGUAACUGGGAUUACAGAGCUGGGGUUUCACCAUCUUGCCCAGACUGGUCUCAAAGCCCUGGGCUCAAGCAAUCUUUCCUUCUUGGCCUCCCAGUGUCCUGGGAUUACAGGCAUGAAUCACUCCGCCCAGCUGGAUUUUUCAGUUAAGAACACCGUUGGUGAUCUUAGGUAGAUUAGAACCAGAGAAGCAUUAGAAACAAAAGCCAAAUUCAGCCCACCAACAAAUGAGGAAUCAGAGAAGGAAAGGAAUCAGAGAAGCUUCUAGAGGCUACCCACAUUCCUGGGCUAAUGGCCCCUUCCUACAUCUUCAAAGCCAGCAGUGGUGGGCUGAGUCUUUCUCCUGGUAUCAUCUCUUCAUUCUCUAUCUCCCUCUCCCAAUUUUAAGGACCUCUGUGAUUAUAUUGGGCACCUGGAUAUUGCAGGAUACGCUCUCUAUUUUAAGGCUAUGCUCCGUAAAGAGAGUGCCUCCUCUAGAAUCACAAGACCUAAGCAUGAAUCUUCCUUUGAAGGAUAAAAUGGAAGGAAAAAAACUGGAUGAGGAAAAGAAGAGUGGGGAAUAGAAAGAGAGAGAGAGAGAAAGAUGGAUAAAUUUUUAAAGUUACUAUAAUAAAAAUCUUCUACAACGAAACUAUAAUUGUUGAU
RNAcentral lists this long non-coding RNA (994 nucleotides) under Homo sapiens (human). Its description in RNAcentral is "HSALNT0372910". The record is from RNAcentral. Lineage: Eukaryota; Metazoa; Chordata; Mammalia; Primates; Hominidae.